RNAcentral lists this ribosomal RNA (253 nucleotides) under uncultured bacterium. Its description in RNAcentral is "partial 16S ribosomal RNA". It matches the Rfam family "Bacterial small subunit ribosomal RNA", at positions 524 to 776 of the family's 1533-position model. The record is from RNAcentral.
UACGUAGGGGGCAAGCGUUGUCCGGAUUUAUUGGGCGUAAAGCGCGUGUAGGCGGCCAGGUAGGUCCGUUGUGAAAACUCGAGGCUCAACCUCGAGACGCCGAUGGAAACCAUGUGGCUAGAGUCCGGAAGAGGAGAGUGGAAUUCCUGGUGUAGCGGUGAAAUGCGCAGAUAUCAGGAAGAACGCCCGUGGCUAAGGCGGCUCUCUAGUACGGUACUGACGCUGAGACGCGAAAGCGUGGGGAGCGAACAGG